AAUUAAGGGACCGUCUCUAAAGUUACAUACGACAAUGUUAUACACGUUUCUAACUUCAAUAGCAUUUGAAGGGAAUGACUAACAGUCACAAAACCAACUGGAAAGUGUUCAUCUAGGUGUCAGGUAUGGGAAACACCUUUUAGAUUUUUGAUAUUUAUCAAAACAAGCUAUUAAAUCAUAUGUAAAUUAGAUAUGAAUUUCACUACAGAAUGGGCCCAUACACAAAAUAUACCAUUAUUUGAAGCUCAGUAGCAUUUGAAGGGAAUGACUUACAGUCACAGAACCAACAAGAAGAGCAAUGGGCCAAGAGAUCACAAACUCAAAGACGAGCAAAGCAUCGUUCAAAGUAUUUUGAUCCACCAGAAGCAAACAAAAGCAAACAUCUGAGGAUCAUUCAGAGGACACAUCAACCCAGAUCCAAGCUCUGUGGUCUAAGAAAGCAUGUGUGAUAGUCAUUGCCGUCACACAGUCAAAGGACAAAAAAAGGUCUUAUAUCCUGCAUCAUUCAGAGCUGAAAACACUCCAGCCACAUAAAUGCCUGGUGGCGGAGACAAUCCAAUGCUAUUUUCAAGUGGUGGUGAAUAACAGACACCAGGGACACAAGAUUUUUAUACUAGAUCACUACACAGCAAGUGUUAUACUUUAUGGAGAACGAGAUGAAGUAUGGAGAAACAGUCUCUCAAAGGUGGACUUUGAUGACUACGAGGGAAUGAUAAGUUUCCUGAAUGUCAACGGGAAUCAUUGGAUAUUUUUGAGAAUACUUCAAGAUGAGAAGAAACUGUCUCAGUAAAUGUGACUGGGUGGACAUAAAAUGGAAUGGAGGACAAAUGAACCAUUCCACACAACAAGACUGGUACAGCUUUGGAGUGUUUCUCAUGCAGGUUGGAUUUCCUCAUUAAAUUGUACGAAAUAAAGCAAAACAAAUAGUUUAUCUUAUAAUAAACUCUGACACAGUUCUUAUGAAUUUGUGAAGCAGAAUGUUGAUUUACUUAGUAUGUACCAUUCGCCAACAGAGCUAACAUAUAACUGCAUGUUUUCAGUAUUGCAGAGGGGACAUUGCUGCUCUUUAUGUGCUGCCUCAAAAUCCCUGGGUGGUGGUGCAAAAACAUUUUGGGUGGGUAAUGUAUCAAUGGUUAUAACAUUUUUAUGGGCACACCAUUUUGUUUACAAGUGUGUGUUGUGCGUGUAAGAGAGUGAGAGAGUGAGAGAGAAACUAAUUGAUUACUGAGCAAUUUGAUAAAAUUACUAUGAUGAUUUUUCCGAUUGAAUGUCACUGAUGCAAGAGGUGGUUUCAUGUGGCAUGCCUUUCUAUGUCAGAGAACCAGUUCAAAAGGGCUCAAAAGGUUGACUGGAAGUGCUGCCUAUGUAAAUAAUUUUGAAUUCCUUUGGCUCCCAUCCACAAUCUAAACAUGUACAUAAAUAAAUUAAAAGAAAACAAAUAAAAAUGUUUGAAAUAUUAAAACAUUUGUGGAUCACCAUUUCU
Long non-coding RNA from Ictalurus furcatus (blue catfish), 1483 nucleotides. RefSeq lists it as uncharacterized. Lineage: Eukaryota; Metazoa; Chordata; Actinopteri; Siluriformes; Ictaluridae. The transcript is spliced from 5 exons. The record is from RefSeq and is a predicted model, not a curated record.